Molecule: long non-coding RNA, 986 nt
Filed under: Dromaius novaehollandiae (emu)
Lineage: Eukaryota; Metazoa; Chordata; Aves; Casuariiformes; Dromaiidae
Description: lncRNA (ENSDNVG00000018489.1)
Source: RNAcentral
GUCAUUAAACCUUUGGCACAAGCAGUACAAAGGACGCUGAGUUCAUGUUUAUACUAACUUAUCUGGAUAAAGGGAAAGCUGUUCCUUUAAAUUAUGUUUGCUGUGACUCUGGAAAGUGAGCAAACUAAGUCUGAGGGAAAGCUUCCCUUUCGAUCAGAACUGAUAGAAAGUACAAGGAUUGAAGGACACAGAUUUCCAGUAGGACGUACCUGCCUCAGCAGCCAGCACUCAACUGCAAGUUCCUUAUAACUUGGGGGAGUUUAGUCCAGAUUUGUUGGACAUACCUCAUCCAGACGGCAAAUGAGAGACUGGUUCAGACCCAGACUGCCAGACAAAGCUGAUGGAGUUAUGGAGGUUACCUGUCUUCUGCUGCUCCGCUGCUGAUGGAUCGUCUCAGUUGCCAUAGAGACAAGCUCUGGAAGCCAUGGACGGGCACAGCGCAGGAGCUGCCGGUGGGCUCUCUGCCGGUGGGCUCUGGCAAGGCGUUCCUCAGCAGGCAUUAGCAGAGGCAGGGUCAGUCUCUGAAGGUGAGGAAGAGUCACACACACGUUACAUUGCCAUCCAAAGAAAUUCCACGUACUAUCGGUCCAUGCGGCUGCGGAGCAGAGGGAAAAGAAAGGCUACGAGAGAGACAGUGAAUGUGGGGCGUGCUACAGGUUCACUCAGAAAUGAGGAGCCUGCCAAAGAGCCUCUGACUAUGGAGGUUUUAUCUCAGAAGGGAUCGGCACCUCUGGCAAAUGUUGAUAUGAAAGCUUUAGAAGAACUAUGGAUCCAAAGUCCCAGGGUGCUGGAAGCGCUGUCACCUCACUUGGGAGAAAAAGUAUUUCUCAGGCACUUGUUCUGCUUACAGAAGUUCUUCUCCAUAUAUCAACAUGAAGUAUGAGAACAUGGUAUGAGCCUAGAGAGAAAGAAAGAGCAAUAUUUUAGAAAGACUAAAUCACAAUUAAAAAAAUAAAAAGUUCUAAAGGAAGAAAAAGUAGCGUAUU